RNAcentral lists this ribosomal RNA (258 nucleotides) under uncultured bacterium. RNAcentral's name for it is "partial 16S ribosomal RNA". It matches the Rfam family "Bacterial small subunit ribosomal RNA", at positions 96 to 354 of the family's 1533-position model. The record is from RNAcentral.
UGGCGGACGGGUGAGUAACGCGUGGGUAACCUGCCUUACACAGGGGGAUAACACUUAGAAAUAGGUGCUAAAACCGCAUAAGCGCACAGCUUCGCAUGAAGCGGUGUGAAAAACUCCGGUGGUGUAAGAUGGACCCGCGUCUGAUCAGCUUGUUGGCGGGGUAACGGCCCACCAAGGCGACGAUCAGUAGCCGGCCUGAGAGGGCGGACGGCCACAUUGGGACUGAGACACGGCCCAGACUCCUACGGGAGGCAGCAG